Molecule: ribosomal RNA, 305 nt
Filed under: uncultured bacterium
Lineage: Bacteria
Description: bacterial SSU rRNA
Rfam family: Bacterial small subunit ribosomal RNA
Source: RNAcentral
UCCUACGGGAGGCAGCAGUGGGGAAUAUUGGGCAAUGGAGGAAACUCUGACCCAGCAACGCCGCGUGAAUGAUGAAGGUCUUCGGAUUGUAAAGUUCUUUUCUAAGGGAAGAAGAAAGUGACGGUACCUUAGGAAUAAGCCUCGGCUAACUACGUGCCAGCAGCCGCGGUAAUACGUAGGGGGCAAGCGUUAUCCGGAUUUACUGGGUGUAAAGGGAGCGUAGGUGGCAGGGCAAGUCAGAUGUGAAAACCCGGGGCUCAACCCCGGGAGUGCAUUUGAAACUGUCCAGCUGGAGUGCAGGAGAG